Molecule: long non-coding RNA, 700 nt
Filed under: Nicotiana benthamiana
Lineage: Eukaryota; Viridiplantae; Streptophyta; Magnoliopsida; Solanales; Solanaceae
Description: long non-coding RNA (NBEN_LNC024206)
Source: RNAcentral
UUCUAUCAUAUUUUAAAAAAGAACAGGAAAGUUUGGCUAAGACAUGCUUAUUGGGUGUAUUAGGGAGUUCAUGUGAAGCAAAGAUAGUUAAGGACGUGUUGGCUAAGACAUGCUUAUUGGGUAUAUUAGGGAGUUCAUGUGAACCAAAGAUAGUUAAGGACAAGUCGAAAAACUUCAUGUGUGAAGAGGACUGGCCAGAUGAAAAACUAGAGCACCAAGACAUUUGCUCUUUUAAUUAGUUGAUAAAUAUAACUUUUGGGACAAAUAGCAAAUAUCAUGCGGUUUUAGUUUUUGAUGUGGCCAGUCUCCAUCACAUAUGAUGUUUUUUGGACUUCUCCUUAACUAUAUUUGCUUCCCAGGAACUCACAUAUGCAUACCAGUAAGCAUGUUUUUGCCAAUAUUUUCUAGUUUUUUUCUUAUGAAAACAAGACGGUUCUUCAUCAAUUACUACUGGAAUGGAAUAAUGCCUAUCUUUUUAUCCUAUAUUUAUCCAAUUUUUAUUACCUCCUUUUAGUAUAUGCUGGAAUCGCUACUCAUGAAGAAAUAUAAUCCAGUAUAUUGCCAAGGAGAAGUGGAAAAUAAUGGAGAAUUUGUAAUUAAAUAAAUUUAGUGAAACUAAAUGAUUUAAUAUUUAGUUUACUGUAUAUUAUAGUGGAGUUUUAUAUUGUAAAAGCACUAUAUCCUGUAAUUACUACUGCAA